RNAcentral lists this ribosomal RNA (666 nucleotides) under uncultured bacterium. Its description in RNAcentral is "bacterial SSU rRNA". It matches the Rfam family "Bacterial small subunit ribosomal RNA", at positions 11 to 733 of the family's 1533-position model. The record is from RNAcentral.
GUUUGAUCCUGGCUCAGAACGAACGCUGGCGGCAGGCCUAACACAUGCAAGUCGAACGAUAUAGUGGCAGACGGGUGAGUAACGCGUGGGAACGUACCUUUCGCUAAGGAAUAGCUCCGGGAAACUGGUGGUAAUACCUUAUACGCCCUUAGGGGGAAAGAUUUAUCGGCGAAAGAUCGGCCCGCGUUGGAUUAGCUAGUUGGUGAGGUAAUGGCUCACAAAGGCGACGAUCCAUAGCUGGUCUGAGAGGAUGAUCAGCCACACUGGGACUGAGACACGGCCCAGACUCCUACGGGAGGCAGCAGUGGGGAAUCUUGCACAAUGGGCGAAAGCCUGAUGCAGCCAUGCCGCGUGAAUGAUGAAGGCCUUAGGGUUGUAAAAUUCUUUCGUCAGGGAUGAUAAUGACCGUACCUGAAGAAGAAGCCCCGGCUAACUUCGUGCCAGCAGCCGCGGUAAUGCGAAGGGGGCUAGCGUUGUUCGGAAUUACUGGGCGUAAAGCGCGCGUAGGCGGACUUUUAAGUCAGGUGUGAAAUCCCGGGGCUCAACCUCGGAACUGCAUUUGAAACUGGAAGUCUUGAGAUCAGGAGAGGUUAGCGGAAUACCGAGUGUAGAGGUGAAAUUCUUAGAUAUUCGGUGGAACACCAGUGGCGAAGGCGGCUAACUGGA